GCCGGCAUAGCUCAGUUGGCAGAGCGGCGGUUUCGUAAACCGCAGGUCAUCGGUUCGAGCCCGAUUGCCGGCU
This 73-nucleotide transfer RNA is filed under the name Chloroflexota bacterium. RNAcentral describes it as "tRNA-Thr". It matches the Rfam family "tRNA". From Rfam's summary of the family: Transfer RNA (tRNA) molecules are approximately 80 nucleotides in length. Their secondary structure includes four short double-helical elements and three loops (D, anti-codon, and T loops). The record is from RNAcentral. RNAcentral also lists the same sequence under 1 other name. Lineage: Bacteria; Bacillati; Chloroflexota.